Molecule: long non-coding RNA, 981 nt
Filed under: Calidris pugnax (ruff)
Lineage: Eukaryota; Metazoa; Chordata; Aves; Charadriiformes; Scolopacidae
Description: lncRNA (ENSCPUG00000009665.1)
Source: RNAcentral
GGUUGAAAGGUGAGCAUCAAGCAAUACUUCACAGCAAGACAAAAAUACCAUUCCAGCUAAAGAGACUCCGCAAAGCAAAACAUCAGAGAGACAAGUCAGAAAAAGGACCAGGUUUUCAGCACCACAGAAGUUUCGGGCUGUCCAGGAAUGACUGCUUGGUCAAUGUAUUGUUUCCAAGAAUGAUGCGGAUGAGGACGUAUGAGGAAGCUGUUUCUGGGAAUGGGAUGCAUGAAGAGAGAUGCAGAAACUCCGGAGGAGCAGAGGAUAAAGAGGGAAAGAGGCAGAAUGCCUUGAAGAGAAUUGCAGACUUCACACCCAGCCUGGUAAAUGAGGACACAUACCUCCCCUCAGCAGAGCUCACCAGUGGAUUUGCUUAAGAAGACCACGUGCUGAGGAGCAUUCAAGCCUUAACUCCAGCAGCACGUUGAGAUGGGAAGGCAUGCAGAGGUGACAGCACGUGACAGUGUGCUUCCACAGAGAUGCAGAUGCUCUGGAGAGGAGAAAUUCCCAGCUGGGGCAGGAAGAUGUGUCCGAGCUUGCCAAGAACCGAGGCGAGAGGCAGAAACAAUGGAGAAAGGAUGGAGCAUCAGCUGAGGAGGCCAAAAUGGUUGUUUAUAAAGCAUGGCUAUUCUUUAAGACAAGGACUUGACUGGAUUCUGGGAACUGAAGUUGUCCCUAACCCCCAACACUGGUUGACCAUCUCCUGCAGCCAGAGGAAACAGCAUCAAGUUUGCAGCCUCUCAUACUGCUCCAGGAAAGAAGUAGGCAAUCCUAAAGGACGACAUCUUCCAAAAGAUUUAGUGCCUGAUUCCAGAUCUCAGUAUUCACACUCCUGCUUCAGCUGCUGCUUAGUGCUGGAAACCUCAGUUUCCAAGUGUAACCCAUCUGCCAGAACUCAACUGGCAGCAACAAGGGCUGCACUCAAGCUUAACGCUGUGAGCCAGAAACAAGGAAAAGAUUUAUGAAAUUUUGUUGCCCUUG